This 507-nucleotide ribosomal RNA is filed under the name Triticum aestivum (bread wheat). Its description in RNAcentral is "partial small subunit ribosomal RNA". Lineage: Eukaryota; Viridiplantae; Streptophyta; Magnoliopsida; Poales; Poaceae. The record is from RNAcentral.
CUCAAGUCCAUCGACGUUUACGCGUUCGGCGUUUAUGCGGAUGACAGCGAUCUGAAGCAGCUGAGGGACAAAUACCAGAAGCUUCCCAUCUCUGAUCUGAAGGAAAGCGACGAGCUGAUCAACAAUGCACUAGAGCGCGACAUACGUAUGACGGUCAGGCUUCAGAUAGUUUAUGGGAGGCUGAGCAUUGGCUCAGUUCGGAGCGCUUUUGAGAAGAGUGUAGGAAGCAGGCUUCAGAAGUUUGGGGGGUCAGACACCAAAGAGUUGCUUCAGAGUUUUGUUUCACUUUUCAAGGACGAGUACAAAUUACCAAAGGGAUCUGUAAUUGAGCUUUCGAGGGAAUCAAACCAUGUUCUUAAAAUAAGCAUUGAAGGAGAAGACGUGGGAAGUAUCCAGAACAAGCUCUUGUGCCAGUCUAUCUUAGAUCUUUACAUUGGAGACGACCCGUUUGAUAAGAAUGCGAAAAACAACAUCCAAGGAAGUUUGGCUAGCAUUCUUAAAGCUUAG